GACGAACGCUGGCGGCGUGCUUAACACAUGCAAGUCGAACGGAAAGGCCCUGCUUUUGUGGGGUGCUCGAGUGGCGAACGGGUGAGUAACACGUGAGUAACCUGCCCUUGACUUUGGGAUAACUUCAGGAAACUGGGGCUAAUACCGGAUAGGAGCUCCUGCUGCAUGGUGGGGGUUGGAAAGUUUCGGCGGUUGGGGAUGGACUCGCGGCUUAUCAGCUUGUUGGUGGGGUAGUGGCUUACCAAGGCUUUGACGGGUAGCCGGCCUGAGAGGGUGACCGGCCACAUUGGGACUGAGAUACGGCCCAGACUCCUACGGGAGGCAGCAGUGGGGAAUAUUGCACAAUGGGCGGAAGCCUGAUGUAGCAACGCCGCGUGCGGGAUGACGGCCUUCGGGUUGUAAACCGCGUUCGCCUGUGACGAAGCGUGAGUGACGGUAAUGGGUAAAGAAGCACCGGCUAACUACGUG
RNAcentral lists this ribosomal RNA (468 nucleotides) under uncultured bacterium. Its description in RNAcentral is "partial 16S ribosomal RNA". It matches the Rfam family "Bacterial small subunit ribosomal RNA", at positions 28 to 507 of the family's 1533-position model. The record is from RNAcentral.